This 468-nucleotide ribosomal RNA is filed under the name uncultured bacterium. RNAcentral describes it as "partial 16S ribosomal RNA". It matches the Rfam family "Bacterial small subunit ribosomal RNA", at positions 28 to 507 of the family's 1533-position model. The record is from RNAcentral.
GACGAACGCUGGCGGCGUGCUUAACACAUGCAAGUCGAACGGAAAGGCCCUGCUUUUGUGGGGCGCUCGAGUGGCGAACGCGUGAGUAACACGUGAGUAAACUGCCCCUGACUUUCGGGUAACUUCAGGAAACUGCGGCGAAUACCCCGUAGGAGCUCUUGCUCCACGGGGGGCAUUGGUAAGUUUCGGCGGUUCGGGAUGGUCUCGCGGCUUAUCAGCUUGUUUGGGGAGUAGUGGAUUACAAGGGUUUUGACGGGUAGGCGGCCUUGGAGGGUGGCCGGGCACAAUGGGACUGAGAGACGGCGCAGUAGCCUACGGGAGGCAGCAGGGGGAAAUAUUGCAGAAUGGGCGGGAGCGUGAGGCGGCAACGCCGGGAGCGGGAUGACGGCUUACGAGUUGUAAACCGCUUUCGCCUGUGACGAAGCGUGAGUGACGGUAAUGGGUAAAGAAGCACCGGCUAACUACGUG